GUAGGGAAUAUUGGGCAAUGGAUGCAAGUCUGACCCAGCCAUCCCGCGUGCCGGAAGAAGGCCCUCAGGGUUGUAAACGGCUUUUGACGGUGAAGAAUCGACAGGAUGCGUCCUGUUUUGACGGUAGCCGUUGAAUAAGCACCGGCUAACUCCGUGCCAGCAGCCGCGGUAAUACGGAGGGUGCGAGCGUUGUCCGGAUUUAUUGGGUUUACAGGGUGCGUAGGCUGGAAGGUCAGUCAGCGGUGAAAAGCUGUCGCUUAACGAUAGUCUUGCCGCAGAUACUUCCUUUCUUGGAUGAGGAGGAGGCCACUGGAACGGAUGGUGUAGCGGUGAAAUGCAUAGAUAUCAUCCAGAACACCGAUUGCGAAGGCAGGUGGCUGUACCUUAAUCGACGCUGAUGCACGAAAGCAUGGGGAGCAAACAGGAUUAGAAACCCCUGUAGUCC
RNAcentral lists this ribosomal RNA (445 nucleotides) under uncultured bacterium. Its description in RNAcentral is "partial 16S ribosomal RNA". It matches the Rfam family "Bacterial small subunit ribosomal RNA", at positions 354 to 796 of the family's 1533-position model. The record is from RNAcentral.